This is a long non-coding RNA of Ctenopharyngodon idella (grass carp), 2996 nucleotides long. RefSeq lists it as uncharacterized. NCBI's taxonomy places the organism in Eukaryota, Metazoa, Chordata, Actinopteri, Cypriniformes, Xenocyprididae. The transcript has 4 exons. The record is from RefSeq and is a predicted model, not a curated record.
CAGCACUGAGGACUCCGGUGCGAGAAGCCGCCAUUUUCUCCGCGUCUUCGGAUGGAAUCGAGUGAAAGACGGUUUAUAUUCUCACUUAUUUCUGUCCAAAAGUAUUUUGAGAUGUAUUUGAAGGCGAAAAAAGUCAGAAAAGAACUUAGAUGGAAAUUUUCGCGGUUUUUGCCUCAUUCGUCUCAUGUCUCAACGGCCUCUUUUAUUGAAUCAAAGAGGCGUUUUUAAAUAUAGUGGGUUUCAUGUGUCAUAUUUACAAGUUUCUUGAAGUUUGUUAAUGGAAGGUUAUCAACAGAUUCACAUUUUAAUUCAUUAUUUUAUUUAUUUAUUUAUUUUUUUUUCAUCUUCGCGGUUAACCCGAAUGUAAUGACCUAGUUUUCCUUAAGGAAAUGAAACUGCGAUAUGUAAGUUAAUAAAGAUUGGUUUAUUAUGGUGUUGAAGCGAUAAUUGUUGAAAUUAAUGUUUUGCAUGUAAUAUUUCAGACUUGUUGCGCUUUGUGUGUUCGUUUGGCCCGCUCCGGGAGUAACUUAAACGACAGGCGACUGCUGUGCGAGGAUGCGCGAUUUUCUCAGCUACAGAAGAGAGGGAAAGACGAUUUAUGAUCAAGCCAGAGACCUAAGGAGUGCUUCAUUCUUUUGAGUUUAUAACUCAAACCAACUGUGGAGAGGAGCCCUUCUCUUUGGUCUUCCUUUCUUAAAGGAAUAGUGCACACAAAAAUAAAAAUUGUCACCAUUUACCCAACCUCAUGUCUUUCCAAACCCAUAAGACUUUUGUCCAUCUAUGAAACACAAAUGAAGAUAUUUUAAUAUUCUCAUCUUUUUUUUUUAUUUAUUUUUUAUCCAUUUACAGUUUAUAUAAUCAGUAUUUUUAAGCUUCACAAAUGCAAAGUUAUUGUAGUAAUCCAUACCAAUAUUUAUAUGUGAAUAAAAUUCUAAAUUAUAUCUGUUCAUAUAAUGUAAAGCAAUCAUGUCUGUUCAGAUUCAAAAAUGUUGACUCCCAGACUUGCAAUAGAUGGACAAAAAAUUGAGAGAAUAUUAAAAAUAUCUUCAUUUAUGUUUCAAAGAUUACCAAAAGUCUUAUGGUUUUGGAACGACAUGAGGGAGAGUAAAUUAUGACAGUUUUCUUUUUUGGGUGAACUAAUACUUUAAAGAGCAGCCCUCCAAGUUCAUCAGAAUGUGUGAGGGAUGAAUACUGGUCAAAAAGGAGAAUAACCUUCCCCAAUGAAGAUCACUGAUGUGACCGUGCUUUUAAAGGGGAAGAUUGUCCUGGACAAUUUAAAGGAUGCUGCAUGCCUUUGCUGUGCUGAUGGAGCUUCUUCAUGACUGGACAUCAGUUAUCCUAAGGAGGUCAGGAAAAUCUGCAGCGACGCGUGUUCUGAAUGUACUCAUGGACUCAACGAACUUUUAGCAUAUAAUCUGACAAAUGUUCAAUGCUUGUUCAUUGUUGUUUAAUGGAGGAAUUCACACUCUCAUUCAAACUCACAUUCUUUCACACGUCUUAGAGAAUUAUAUAACUAACAAAUGUUAUAAUGUCAGUGUUAAUGUUGUGGUUUGUGUUCAGUCAUGUUUGUAAAACAAACAAAAAAACUUUAGUCAUGUUAAAUAGUGUUAGUCUUAAAAUUCUUAGAUUUAGAUCUUAAAUUAAUAUAGCUCCAUAUUUUAGGCAACAAUAGAGAUUUUACACUCUAAAAAAUGCUGGGUUAAAAACAACCCAAUUUGGGUUAUUUUGGCAACCCAGCGCUGGGUCGUUUUGACCCAUCAAGUUGGGUUAAAUAUUUGACCCAGCAUGCUGGGUUGUUUUUUGUAACCUAAAUUUUGGUGUAAAAUGACUACAUUGCAGUAUUUAAAUUAACCCAAAUGAGUUUUUAAUUAAACCCAGUAAUCUUAGACAUUAUAAAAUCACUUGAACACACAGAAUGACUAUCAAAAGGUAAAAAUUUAUUAAAAACAAGGACAAGGGCAAACAUGGUCAAAAGUAACAACAUGCAUGUGAGAUGAAAAUCAGAAAAGAAUUGCAAAUAGACAGCCACACAGUUUAUACAGAAAUUAAAUUGUUUUUCACAUUUCAGUGAACAUUGAUGAAUAUAACUGGCAUUUAAGACCAAAUAAGACUUUUUUUUUUUUUGCAUAUUAUCCACCGCCAACAAAAACACUACACUAUAAAAUUAUUCACUGGUUUCAACUUUAAGUAAUUGUAUUAAAUAUUGCAAUAAUUUAUUCAAGCAAACAAAGGUAACAAGUUAACUUCCAAAGUUCACUCAAUUUCAAACUUAUAACUAUAAAUCCAUAACCUUAAGUUGUUUACAAAACUACUUGGUAAUAAUUAUCUAUAAGUGAAUUUGACCAUUUUUAAAAUGAUUCCUCACCUCCAGGCAUAUUAAUGAAGGAGCUCACACUAUAGCUAAAGCUGUAGCUAAAGUUCAACUUGCUCAGUCAGCUUGGUUCUGGUUUUCAAAACCCCUAAUAGCUUAUUCUCCAUUGUUGCAUCUUCAUGGAUGAGACAUGCAGAUAACUACAUACUGUAGUUCAAAGAUUAUUCAACCUUUAUUAAAUUAUAAUCACUGAACUCUUCAAGUUUGUCGAAAAAGUAAACAAUGAAUGUUUAACUUUCUAUAUUGUCAAAAUUAACAAUUGCAACAGUUCUAUCAUACCUAAAUUAAACUCAGUACAAAGAAGAAGAAAAAGUGUUCUCUUUUGAAUCCCCAUAUGCAAGAAUGUGAAUAAGGGCAGAAGUCAACAUCACAUAAAUGCCAGAAUGUAAAAUUUGUUAUUUUAUACAUUUAAAUAUGAUCUAUUUUUGUUUGUACUUUACAAAUUAACGCAAAAUUAGCGCAUAUCUUCUAGUACAAAUGCACAGUGCUCACAUUUAUUUGUGCAUUAAAAAAAAUACAAAUCAGCUUGUUGUGCCAUAUAUAGUGCUCACAUAAUUUGAUUGUCACUAGUGACAAUGUUGUUGUGACAGUGAUUGUUACUAGUAGGAAAAUCAUUUUAGAUGUC